Molecule: long non-coding RNA, 269 nt
Filed under: Nicotiana benthamiana
Lineage: Eukaryota; Viridiplantae; Streptophyta; Magnoliopsida; Solanales; Solanaceae
Description: long non-coding RNA (NBEN_LNC022583)
Source: RNAcentral
AUUUCUUAAUCUAUUUCGUGUUACAAAUAUUAGAACAAAUAUUUGACGAAGUAGAACCAUCUCUAUCAAGAUGACAGACCCAUUCUCUGUACUAUCAAUAGGAUCAAUUAUAACAAGUCACACACUCAUACUCCGGAAAUACAGAAACAAAGAAAUUCCACAAUCGAACUACCACUUUUAUCAAUCUGAUUUAUUUCGUACCUUUCGUUCAAUGAGAAAAUGGGUCAAAUUCUACAGGAUCAAACCUAUGGGACUUAAGGAAUGAUAUA